CCAAUAGCGUAUAUUAAAGUUGUUGCAGUUAAAAAGCUCGUAGUUGAAUUUCGGGGUCAGUAGGUCGGUCGUGCCACUGGUAUGAACUGGUUUUACUGAUUCCUCCCUCUUGAAGAACUGUAAUGCCAUUAAUUUGGUGUUGCAGGGAAUCAGGACUGUUACUUUGAAAAAAUUAGAGUGUUUAAAGCAGGCUUUAGCUUGAAUACAUUAGCAUGGAAUAAUGAAAUAGGACGUUUGAUCCUAUUUUGUUGGUUUCUAGGAUUGACGUUAUGAUUAAUAGGGUUAGUUGGGGGCAUUAGUAUUCAAUUGUCAGAGGUUAAAUUCUUGGAUUUAUUGAAGACUAACUACUGCGAAAGCAUUUGCCAAGGAUGUUUUCAUUAAUCAAGAACGAAAGUUAGGGGAUCGAAGACGAUCAGAUACCGUCGUAGUCUUAACCAUAAACUAUGCCGACUAGGGAUCGGAUGAUGUUAAUUUUUUAAUGACUCUUUCGGCGCCUUAC
This 499-nucleotide ribosomal RNA is filed under the name uncultured Glomeromycotina. Its description in RNAcentral is "partial small subunit ribosomal RNA". It matches the Rfam family "Eukaryotic small subunit ribosomal RNA", at positions 591 to 1091 of the family's 1831-position model. Lineage: Eukaryota; Fungi; Glomeromycota. The record is from RNAcentral.